This 1361-nucleotide ribosomal RNA is filed under the name uncultured bacterium. RNAcentral describes it as "bacterial SSU rRNA". It matches the Rfam family "Bacterial small subunit ribosomal RNA", at positions 8 to 1360 of the family's 1533-position model. The record is from RNAcentral.
AGAGUUUGAUCCUGGCUCAGGAUGAACGCUAGCGACAGGCUUAACACAUGCAAGUCGAGGGGCAGCACAGGUAGCAAUACCGGGUGGCGACCGGCGCACGGGUGAGUAACGCGUAUGCAACUUACCUAUCAGAGGGGGAUAACCCGGCGAAAGUCGGACUAAUACCGCAUGAAGCAGGGGUCCCGCAUGGGGAUAUUUGCUAAAGAUUCAUCGCUGAUAGAUAGGCAUGCGUUCCAUUAGGCAGUUGGCGGGGUAACGGCCCACCAAACCGACGAUGGAUAGGGGUUCUGAGAGGAAGGUCCCCCACAUUGGUACUGAGACACGGACCAAACUCCUACGGGAGGCAGCAGUGAGGAAUAUUGGUCAAUGGGCGUAAGCCUGAACCAGCCAAGUCGCGUGAGGGAUGAAGGUUCUAUGGAUCGUAAACCUCUUUUAUAAGGGAAUAAAGUGCGGGACGUGUCCCGUUUUGUAUGUACCUUAUGAAUAAGGAUCGGCUAACUCCGUGCCAGCAGCCGCGGUAAUACGGAGGAUUCGAGCGUUAUCCCGAUUUAUUGGGUUUAAAGGGUGCGUAGGCCGCCUUUUAAGACAGCGGUGAAAGUCUGUGGCUCAACCAUAGAAAUGGCCGUUGAAAACUGGGGGGGCUUGAGUAUGUUUGAGGCAAGGGGAAUUGCGUGGUGUAGCGGUGAAAAUGCUUAGAUAUCACGCAGAACCCUGAUUGGGAGGGCACCGGGCCAAGCCAUGAAUUGACGCUGGCGCACGAAAGCGUGGGGAUCAAACAGGUUUAGAUACCCUGGUAGUCCCCGCAGUAAACGAUGAUCACUAGCUGUUUGCGAUACAGUGUAAGCGGCACAGCGAAAGCGUUAAGUGAUCCACCUGGGGAGUACGCCGGCAACGGGUGAAACUCAAAGGAAUUGACGGGGGCCCGCACAAGCGGAGGAACAUGUGGUUUAAUUGGAUGAUACGCGAGGAACCUUACCCGGGUUUGAACGCAUUCGGACCGAGGUGGAAACACCUUUUCUAGCAAUAGCCGUUUGCGAGGUGCUGCAUGGUUGUCGUCAGCUCGUGCCGUGAGGUGUCGGCUUAAGUGCCAUAACGAGCGCAACCCUUGCCACUAGUUACUAACAGGUGAUGCUGAGGACUCUGGUGGGACUGCCAGCGUAAGCUGCGAGGAAGGCGGGGAUGACGUCAAAUCAGCACGGCCCUUACAUCCGGGGCGACACACGUGUUACAAUGGCGUGGACAAAGGGAAGCCACCUGGCGACAGGGAGCGAAUCCCCAAACCACGUCUCAGUUCGGAUCGGAGUCUGCAACCCGACUCCGUGAAGCUGGAUUCGCUAGUAAUCGCGCAUCAGCCAUGGCGC